This 259-nucleotide ribosomal RNA is filed under the name Pseudomonas sp. HMSC066A08. RNAcentral's name for it is "partial 16S ribosomal RNA". It matches the Rfam family "Bacterial small subunit ribosomal RNA", at positions 1160 to 1418 of the family's 1533-position model. The record is from RNAcentral. Lineage: Bacteria; Pseudomonadati; Pseudomonadota; Gammaproteobacteria; Pseudomonadales; Pseudomonadaceae.
AAACCGGAGGAAGGUGGGGAUGACGUCAAGUCAUCAUGGCCCUUACGGCCAGGGCUACACACGUGCUACAAUGGUCGGUACAAAGGGUUGCCAAGCCGCGAGGUGGAGCUAAUCCCAUAAAACCGAUCGUAGUCCGGAUCGCAGUCUGCAACUCGACUGCGUGAAGUCGGAAUCGCUAGUAAUCGUGAAUCAGAAUGUCACGGUGAAUACGUUCCCGGGCCUUGUACACACCGCCCGUCACACCAUGGGAGUGGGUUGC